Molecule: long non-coding RNA, 1198 nt
Organism: Felis catus (domestic cat)
Lineage: Eukaryota; Metazoa; Chordata; Mammalia; Carnivora; Felidae
Exons: 2
Source: RefSeq, a predicted model, not a curated record
CCGAUUCUGUGUCUCCCUCUCUCUCUGCCCCUCCCCCGUUCAUGCUCUGUCUCUCUCUCUGUCCCAAAAAUAAAUAAACAUUGAAAAAAAAUAAAAAAAAAAAAAGACUUUGUGAAAGCAACGCAUGCAUUUUCUAAAGGUUCCUAUGGGUGUGUAUAUGGAUACAUCAUUAUCUUGUUGAAAGCAGGGUUAAAGACAAGCAGCUUAUCAAGCUACAAGUCCGCAUGGUGUUUGGUCACAAGUGGGUGGACAAACAUUGAAGGACUUAUCUUAUUAGACUGUCCAGGCGUAAACCUCUCCACCAUGGGAUUCAUCCCCUGUCCACUUACAUGGGUGGCCGUCUUCUCAAUACUCCGAGAGGAAAGUUGUCUUUAAUUCGCUGACACCUGCCAAGCAAAUGCGACUAUGUAAUGUUUAAUUCAUUGUUAUGGUCAGAAAUUAAAUUGGGGUUUUUUUCAGGGCAAACCAUUCCACACCAUGCGUCUGCGGGCUCAGUUUUCUUUAUUUGCUGGAAUGACUGCGGAAAAUUUUGCUCAUUAUGUCUUUUGAGUCUUUCUCUUUCUUCCAGGUUUUCUAGAUGUGUUACUGCAUUGCGUUUCCUGAGCUUUCCUGGUUAUCAAUUAAAUAUUCGUUUCUUUUCUUUUCUUCUGCUCAGAACGUCAUAUUCUCAGCUUUUUCCAAUUGCAAAGCAAAUUCAUAUGAGAUGUCAGCUAUUGACAAGGGUCAAAGGGGAAGGUCUUGGAUGAUGGAGAAGGAUUUUCAAGAGAGCGUGAAGGCUGAAAACCACUCCAUGAAAGGGUCAUGGAUGGAAUCUACACUUUUGCCAGAUUCUUUUUGAGAAUUCCAGGUUGUUCAAAAUAAGGGAUGGGUAGAGCCAAGCACAUUCAUCUAUGUAUCUACAUUAAUGCAUUCCUUCCAGAUGUCUUAAAACAGCAGCUAUCAGAGAAAUAGACCCAUAUUUCUAGUGUGUGGGGGCGGAGAAUGGGUGCUCUAUUGUCUAUCCCUGUAUUUCAGUACAAAUAUGUGAUUUAAAGAUAGUUAAGAUGAAUUGAAUUUGCUCUCAAAAGAUAAUUCUGCGUUGUGAUGUUUAUAUUGUGAAACCAACCAUCCGUGUGGGGUUUUUGUUUGUUUUGUUUUUCUAUUGGGAACUUGAAUGUAACAAACCCCAAUAUUGUCUAUAAAGAGACCUAAAGUUGCA